UGGGGAAUAUUGGACAAUGGGCGCAAGCCUGAUCCAGCAAUGCCGCGUGUGUGAAGAAGGCCUGCGGGUUGUAAAGCACUUUCAGUGGGGAGGAAGGCCUCGGCGUUAAUAUCGUCGAGGAUUGACGUUACCUACAGAAGAAGCACCGGCUAACUCUGUGCCAGCAGCCGCGGUAAUACAGAGGGUGCAAGCGUUAAUCGGAAUUACUGGGCGUAAAUGGCGCGUAGGUGGUUAAUUAAGUCAGAUGUGAAAUCCCCGGGCUUAACCUGGGAAUUGCAUUUGAAACUGAUUGGCUAGAGUACGGGAGAGGGGAGUGGAAUUUCCGGUGUAGCGGUGAAAUGCGUAGAUAUCGGAAGGAACACCAGUGGCGAAGGCGACUUCCUGGCCCGUUACUGACACUGAGGCGCGAAAGCGUGGGGAGCGAACA
RNAcentral lists this ribosomal RNA (427 nucleotides) under uncultured bacterium. Its description in RNAcentral is "bacterial SSU rRNA". It matches the Rfam family "Bacterial small subunit ribosomal RNA", at positions 355 to 774 of the family's 1533-position model. The record is from RNAcentral.